This 32938-nucleotide long non-coding RNA is filed under the name Populus trichocarpa (black cottonwood). RNAcentral's name for it is "long non-coding RNA (PTRI_LNC000810)". Lineage: Eukaryota; Viridiplantae; Streptophyta; Magnoliopsida; Malpighiales; Salicaceae. The record is from RNAcentral.
GAAUUGAUUAUUCAAAGAGUUAGAAGAAAGAUACUGUUUCCAUUGAUUACAAACAAAACAUGAACGCUACUCACACAAGCUUGACGGCUGCUUCCACCACCACCACCACCAUAUUUUAUACAUGCUGAAACAUUUAUUAUAUACCAGAAGCAACCAGAAGAAGAAGCAGAAAACUUCAGUACGUAUUACAUGUUGUUAACGAUAUUAAUGUUUGUUUAAGCCAGAACAUCAAGGAAAGGAUAGUCAGUGUAGCCAACAACAGGAUCGGGAAUGUAGAAAGUGUUCCUGUUGUACCUAUUAAGAGGAGCAUUUAACUCAAAUCGUUUUGGCAAAUCUGGAUUAGCCAGAAACAAUCUUCCAAAUGCCACCAGAUCUGCGUAAUUCUCAGCUAUAGCCUUGUUACCAUCAUCUCUACGGUAUCCUCCAGCAGCUAUAAAAGUCCCUUCAAAGGCAUUUUUCAUUGGAAGUAGACUGUGAGGAGUUUCAUAUAUGUCGUUCGCUUUAACCAUUCUUGGCUCAAUUACAUGGAGAUAAAGAAUACCAAAUUUGUUUAAUGCAUUUGCCAUGUAAAGGCCAAGUUCUUCUGGGUUUGAAUCAACGGCUUCCAUGUAGUUAGCAUAUGGCGAUAGUCUCAUGCCAACUUUAUCAGCUCCAACUUCAUCAACUACAGCUUCCAAUAUUUCCAAUGGAAAGCGGCACCUAUUUUCCAAGCUCCCACCAUAAUUAUCAGUUCUGUCAUUUACUUGAUCUUUAAGGAACUGAUCAAUCAAGUAACCAUUUGCCCCGUGAAUCUCAACUCCAUCAAAUCCUGUCAAAUACAUAUUGUUUUUCAUCAUAAAAGUACUUGGAUUUGAAUAGCUACACAUGCACAAUUCUGAUGAUCCCUUCAAGCAAUAGUUUUUAUGCCUCAAAGUACUCGUCAUCCGGAGACAUUAUGAUAAGUGGCUAACAAGCUAUAGUGUGUGUGUGUGUGUGUACACUAUAGCUAGCCAACAUACACACCAGCUUCAAUGGCGUUGCGGGCAGCGAGUCUGAAAUCAUUAACAAUGCGAGGAAGUUCAUCGGCUCUUAAUCGACGAGGAGGUGACCAGUCUUCUCCGUCAAGACCUGGUGUCACUCCUUUAUCAGUGCAUGAUAUGGGAGCUUCCCCAUUCGGCUGAAACCCUGUAUUGCAAAAAUCAUGCUACAUUUGUCAAAUAAAUUACAACUCUAUUUGGCUCAUACUCUUGAAAUUAACAGAUACGAUGAAGAAAUUAAUUCAAAAAAUGGUUGGAUUAUGAUGGAGCUUUCUUCUUUUCUUUGAUUUCUUGUGCAUUUUGAUAAUAGAUUGAACCAUGGGACUUGAGAUUUUAUAUAUAUAUAUAGAAUCAUAUUUGAAAUCAGCUGAAGUGAAAGCACAUACCAUAAGUGGAGACACGACCCACAUGCCAAAUUUGGCAAAACAAAAUGCCACCUUUCUCAUGAACAGCAUCCACAAUUGGCUUCCAUGCUUUCACUUGCUCUUCAGUCCAAAUUCCAGGUGUUUCAGGAUAUCUUUAAAUCAAAUAAGAAAAAUAAAUGAAAAUCAUGGUAAUAUGUUAAAAAUUAUAUAUAUUUUUUAUAUACAUAAAUUACAAUAACCUAAGACUUAUUUUAUGUCUUUGUCUUCGUCCCUCUAAUAAAAUACAUUUCUAUCCCUUUUGUUCUAAAACGCAAAACAAAUAAUUUAUAUAUUCUUAAAUACAGUAAUAUUAGUGCAUUGAUACAUAACCAUUUAAUUAGGAGUAAAAAUAUUUUUCAUUAUUUUUCUAAUCAGUUAUCACCUAAAACUAACUUAAUAAACUUGCUUUGGUCCCUAUAUAUUAGUCCUCUUACAAAUAAAUCUUUAUCUGAAAGUUCUCGUAUUUUACAAUAAAUAUAAUUUAAAGUCAAUUCAAUCACAAAAUAGUUAUGCCGAUCAAAUUUUACAUAUCAUAGCUCAACAACUAUGGUCUAUAGGGACAAACGUCUCCAUAGCAUCCUCUUCUUCACAGAGGAGAGGGACUACCUUACCUUCAGUUUCUAACAUUUCAAAACCACUUUUCAUACCUCCCCAAAUAUCAAAUGAUCAAACGAAAAAACUAUUAUCAUCUGAUAACCUCAAUGAAAUUAUCACUAAAAAACUCCACACGUUAGAAUUAAAGAAGGUUUGAAGUUUUUGAACCGGAAGAGAUGUCACUUGUAGACCUUCUAUGGCUUAAGCUUGUAAUUUUAAUAGGAUCAUGUCUAGCCGAUUGAAUUAUAAUCUUUGCAUUUCCAAAUCGAUAUUUUUAUAAUUUAUAUUGGAUGACUUCUAGAUGGAAUACUAACUUGAGGUAGUUUCCAAUUAUCAAGAUAUACGAUUUGUCGAUGAGCAGGGUUUGAUUUCUAGGUGAUUUUUUGAGAGUUCCUGGGGCUAUAUUUGUAGCCGCGAUCUUAAUAUAUAUCCUAUAGAUAAUGGCUACAUUCCUUGAAUCUCGAAGCAUAUCAUUUGGAGUCUAGAUGUUUAGAGUUGGGAGUUUUUAUGAUAUUUGAGUAGAACAAUGAAACAAUAAAAUAUGGAUAACAUUUGAAAUACGCAGUCCUAUUAGCCAGAUUUGAUAGAAAAACUACAAUAGUGAGUUCAAAAAGGCUAUGGAUCUAGUGUCCGAGCAUGGGAGUAUCUAAUCCAAGACAACAAAGAGGUUUGAUCGCAAUUUGAGCUGAGCCUAUACAAAGAAAUUUAUAUUUUUCUUUGAACUUUUCUGUUUUAUCUAAUUGAACAAGGCGAAGCACUUCUGCACGAGGUACUGCUUGAAGGUCUAGAUCUAGAGGAUGAUAUAAAUAAUCUACACCAAAAACAGACUGACAACAAAUACUUGAAAAGAGUAAUGAAGUUCAGCAAGGUAAAUCUAACAAUAGAAACACCGCUUGAGACCACCGAAACGCCUAACUUUAGCUACCGCGGCUGACUAACAGCCACCGCAGCUUUACCUAACAUUGCGAAACAUGCUUUGACUAAACUUUCUUAUUAUUAACAGCCUAACAAGGCUGCGAUACCACUAAAAUUUUUCAAACAGUUUAAAUGAAAUUUUGAUAAGUUUAUGAGCGAAUUUAAAUAGGUGUAAAACUAAAAUUAUACGAUUACUAUUUUAUUUUUAUUUUUUAUAUUCCACAUGCAUCAUAGCAUAUACAUAUAAUAUUUUAGACGAUCAAACAAUUCCAAUGAUUCAAUGACCUGAUAAUAGCUUCAACUCAUUAUCUUAAUUGAUUCAUAGAUUAACAACUUAAGAUUUGAUGGUAUGAUUUAUUUUAUCGAACAGGUACAGAAUUAGUAAGGAAGUUCCUCAAUGGAGAGUAAAAGUGGUGAAAUAAGAGAAUUUACCCUUGAGCUGUGUCAGAAACCACAGUUGCUUCGGAAAUGAGGAAGCCUCCAUUGGUAGCGCGUUGAGAAUAGUAUAGGAUGGCAUGUGGUUGAGGCAUGUUGUUGUAGGAUCUAUUCCUUGUUAAUGGUGCCAUAACAACUCUAGCAAUUAUAAAAGGGCAGAAAAACAAGAUGAUUAACAAACAAUAAUAACCCAUGAUUCGGCUCCCCAUCGAAGCGUCAAUCAUACAGUAGAAGGAGAUGGGGGCAAGAGGGUUAGCUAACACACACGAACCUGUGAGAGAGGUUGAAUUUCCCCAUUUUGUAUGGAGUGAGUAAAGGGAUGGGGUUGGUGCUGGCUGCCAUUUCUUUCCUUUCCUUCGAUCUCUGCUUUCUAUCUUCUCUUCUACACCCUGUAUUCAACUCGGCUUUGGAGUCAAGAUACAGCACUGUUAUUUAUACACACAGAUGUGUGUGUGUGUGUAAGAAAAUGAUGAGGCAGCUCCCUCCUCAAUUUUUUUCUUUUUAAAGGGAAAUAAUUGAGAUGAAAAAGAACAGGUGGGGUGUUGCUGAUGCAAGGAGAUAGGGAGCUCGUGUGGGUUCUUUAAUAGUCAAAGCAAAAGCCAUCAAGAACAACAACAGUGAGCUUCGCCGGCAGUAUCUCAUGGCCGCCUUGAAGUCAAAGGGAAAAUCUUAAAAUUAUCCCUGAAUUAUUGGGAUUCCCUUUUGACUCCAAACUAUUUUUUUUACAUCGAUAUAAUUUUUGAUUCGGUAUAAUUUUUACUUGUAAAAAUAAUUAAAUUAAAUUUUUAUAAAAUACAAAAUAUCAAACUAAAAUUGGUUCCCACCAACUAGUUCAGUUCACUUAUUUAUAUUAAAAAUCAAAAUUUAACCUACUGGUUUUAAUUAUGUUCGAUUAUUUUAUAUUAAAAAUAAAAAACCAUAUUGUUUUUUAGGCUUUUUUUGAACUUUUCUGAUGAGCUUGGUUUCGGUUCGGUUCGGUUUGUUUUUUCAGUUCGACCUGGUUCAAUUUGGUUUUAACUAAACCGGUUCGGUUGAGGUUUUUCGAUUUCAGGCUUAUGAAACUAAAACUGAAGUUAACCAAAUAUUUCUUUUAAAUAUUCUAAUCAGUUUAAUCGGAUUUUUUUUCAUAUUUCAGUUUUUUUGAUUUUAUUGGUUUUUUUUCCUCGUUCCUAAUCUUACCUCUAUUAUUUUGAUUUUUUAAUUAAGAGAAUAUUAUGCUUAUUUAAUAAAAACCAUCAAGUUUGGUAAAGUUAACUAAAAAACAAGGUAUAAUCAUAAUGAAACUAUGGAUGGAAAGGUUUAGAAAAUGAAGGGAAGUUCUCAGCCGAGAAUUUCUCUAAAUCUUAAAGAUUGAAAUUAUAUAAAAAAUUUGUUUAUUAUUUUGGUUUCUUGAUCAAAAAACUAUUUUAACAUAAAACAUCAAGUUUAGGUACAAAAUAAUGAAUUUUACCAUCAAAACUACAAUAAAAAAAGCAUAAUUUUAAUGAAAAUAUAAAUGUUUAAAAAUGUAUGGACAUUCUCGGUUCAUUUGAAAGUGUGGUGAGAUGUGGUUGAAACUUUAUUUUGUUCCCAUUAUAGUUUUGAAAAUAUUUGGUUAAUCAAUAUAUAUCACAGUUUUACAUAGUUUCGAUAAAAAAUUCUCUUUUGAAACUUUGAUCAGGAAAAUGCUAUAAUUUAUAGUUUUUUUAAAAUAUUUUUAGAUUGCAACCACAAAAGUUAUUACAGCGCUAAACACAUAAUUUCUAAAAUUCUAGAGAUGAAAUUAAUAUAAAAAAUUGUUUGGGUAUAAAAUUGGAACUUUUGAUAUAAUUGGAGGGCAUUUUUUUGGCAUUGACUAAUUGUGUUGCCUCGCUAGGUGGAUUUUGACACGUUUAUUAUAUAUAUAUAGGACCGGUGGACCACCGUUGAUUAGAACCCAGAUGUAUCCUGCUGUUUGAUGUCAUGGUGUAUUUUGAAUUUUUUAUUUUAUUUUAAAUUAUCUAUAUUAAAAAUAAAAAAAUAAAAAAAUAUUUUAAUGCAGUAAAAAAUAUUUUAUGAAUCAACCACCCCCACAAUCUUAAAUGUUGACAAAAUAAAAAAUGCAACGUUUGCUUUUAAUGUCACUUUCCAUUUUUACUUUUGAUUUUUUUAUUAAUAUUAAUUUAGUUGGAAUAUAGAACAUGGAUUUCCCGACAAGAUGGAUUUGCCUUUUUGUAUGAAUAUAAUUGUUUUUAUCGAAAUGAAAAUGAAUCUUAAUUUAGUGCGAGAAUAUUCAUUAUAUUUUAUUUAAUAAUUAAUAAUAUAUUUAUCUAGAUAAACAUAAAGUUUUUCUUCUUUUUUAUAUGAAAAUUUUCCACAUAUAUUUUUAUGAUAAAAAAUAAUCUUUUUAAAAAAUAUAUUCAUCUUAAGUUUAAUGGGAGUUGUACUGAAAGAUUCAAAGUAAAGAUUUCAUAGAACUCAAUAAUUUCUUUUUUAUAUAUAUAUAAAAACUACUUUUAUAUAUAUAUAUAUAUAUAUAUAUAUAUAUAUAUAUAUAUAUUCAUUACUUGAGUUUUAUGUGAUUCAAAACAGAAACGUCAAAGAAUUUUUUAUUUAAAAAAAAAACUACAUGUUUUUUUAUAUAUAUAAUUUAGUAUGUUACUUGAUUUUCAUGUGAUUCAAAGUAGAGAUGUCGAGAAUUCAUUAUUUUUUUAUAAAAAAAAUGAUAUGAGGUUCACUAGCUUAUUUAACAAAAAAAAAAAAAUGAUCCAUUGAAAAUGUAAUUGAGAUGAAAAAAAUAAGUUGAGGAUCAAAUUAAAACUACUUUUAAAGAUUGGGAUUGGUUUGCCAAUAAAAAAUGAGUAUUAUAAAAAAAUAAAAGAGAUUAAUGUUUUACUGUGAACUUUGAGUGCUUUCACUAUGAAUUAUAUUAUUUGGGUUUAUUCUCUCCAAAACUCUUUCAAUGCUCAGCUCUUUCAUCAAUGAAACAUUUGACAAGUGGCGCUGAGUUAUUUAUUAUAUUACAUUCUAAACUAAAAGGCAUCAGUGCCCCUUCACUAUUUACCUAGAUAUAGUUCACUGUGGAUUGGAGCAAUGUAAAUACAGAGUUGUCCUUGCCACAUAAACUUGCAAAACAUGCAGUGGGAGUGUGGGGCUGUCUUUUCCAUUUAGUAUUGAAAGAAUGGUUGAGGACAAAUGGUCAGUUCGGAUUUUGUUGGGGCAUGGUCAGGUUGUGUGCCCCAGGCAUUGGGGCAUGACAUGGCUGCCCCUUCCAGACCCAAGACACUUGGGUUUGACAUCCCCUUCCAGACCCAAGACACUUGGGUCUGGAAUGGAGCACCUCACCUAAGUUGCUUGGGUGUGGCAAAAAUGUAAACUCAAGUCCCUUGGGUCUUGUAGCCUCGCCUGACCUAAGAUUCUAAGGUCCGGCGUUCAAACCCACCGGACAUCAGGACCCAAGGCUCUUAGGUACAACGUAUGACCCAAAUCUAAUAGGUCCCCGCGUAGCAGCCGAAUUCAAAACUCUUUAGUUUGGCAUUUAAGAGGGACCCAAAGCUCUUGGGCUUGGUGUUGCAGUCAGACCCACUUAAACUUAGGUAAGUUUAAUAUUAUUAUUAAUAUUAAAAAUAUUAUUAUUUGUAUUAUAAAUAUUGUUAUUUUUAUUAUAAUUAAUGUUAUUGAUAUUAAAAAUAUUAUUAUUUUUAUUAUAAUUAAUAAUAUUAAUAUUAAAAAUAUUAUUUUUGUAUUAUAAAGAUUAUUAUUUUUAUUAUAAUUAAUAUUAUUAAUAUAAUAAUUAAUAAAUUUGUAAAAAAUAUCAUUAAUAUUGAAAAACAACCAUAGAUUUUAUUUGAAGGGUAAAAUUAAAAAUUAUUGUCGUCGUCGUCAUCAUCAUCAUCAUCAUCAUUAAUAUAUUUGAAAAAAAAAUUAUAACUAUCAAAGAAAAACAAUAAAUUUUAUUUGAAAGGACUUAAAACUAUACAAACUUGGGCCAGACAAAUUUAAUAUUAAUAUUAAUAUUAUAAAUAUUAUUAAAUUCAUUAAUAUUAUUAAAUUUGAAAUAAAUUUUAUUACUAUAAAAAAAAAAACAUAGAUAUGAUUUAAAGGGUAAAAUUAAUUAUUAUUAUUAUUAACUCGGGUCUGGUAUCCCCUUCCAGACCCAUGAAACUUGGAGGCUGGAAAGAGACACCUGACCCAAAUUAUUUGGGAGUGACAAGAGCGUAGACCCAAGUGCCUUGGGUCUUGCAGCCCCGUCUAGUCCAAGACACUUGAGUUAGGCGUUCAGACUCAAAGCAAAUGAGUCUGAUGCCCUGACCCAAGUCUAAUAGGUCCAGUGUUGCAACCAGAUCCAAGGCUCUUAGGUCUGGCAUUUAAGAGGAACCCAAAGCUCUUGAGCUUGAUGUUACAGUCAGACCCACUUAAACUUGGGUAAGUUUAAUAUUAUUAUUAAUAUUAAAAAUAUUAUUAUUUGUGUUGUAAAUAUUGUUAUUUUUAUUAUAAUUAAUAAUAUUAAUAUAAUAAUUAAUAAAUUUGUAAAAAAUAUCAUUAAUUGUAAAACCUUGAGAAACACACUUUAUAAAUAUAAAAUUAUGGUGAGUAUAAUAAUAAUAGUGCAAUUAAAUAAAGAAGAAGAAGAGAGUCGGCAACCCAUACAAAAAGAAAAGAGAGAUUUGGAGACCUAAAGUGGAAGAAACAAAGAGGGGAGGACCAGACUUAAAAGGUAUGAAUAAAUAAGGGAUAGAAAUAAAAAAAAAAGGGGGGGGGGAGAGAGAAGAAAAUCGCCAUCCUUUGAUGGAGGAGAGCUAACAGCAGAAAAAAAAGAAAAAGGGAGAAGAAGAGUCACUCACUGCCUCUUCAUUUUCUCUCAAGAACAAACAAGGAGAACUACAUGCAAUUCACCAUAUGGGAGGAAACUAGGAGGGUGAGGGAAGAUUUAGACAUUAAAAGAUAAGAGAAGAGAAGAAGAAAGCCAAGAAGGAGCUGGCGGCAGCAAGGGAAGAAAAGAAGACGAAACAUUUGAGGGAGAAGGGGUUACAAAGAGCAGAAAACACUACUAGGACAAACCUAAGACCUUUCUAGAGCAAUUUUAAACAUUUUGGGUAUGUUGCAUGCAAAAAAAUAUCAGUCCUAAGCUAAGUUCUUGAGAAACUUUCUGUGAUAUUUUUUACCAAACUAAAGGACAAAGAAACUAGGGGAAGGUCUGCAGACCUUCAGUAAAAUAUGAACAGAGAGGGAGGAGAAAUAUGUUAAUACUAAUUAAGCAUGCAUAUUGAGAGACAAUAUUGAAUUUCACAAAAUUAUGAUACGAUAAUAUUUGAAAACAUAUGAACAACCUUGUUACACAAAUUCUUGUGAAGCCUAAUCCCUAAAUGUACUAUAUCCUUAUAUGUAAUUGUUAACGUGAGAAAAUGGUGAAAUUCUGUGGGUAAUAACGGUUGAAGAAAGGAAAAGAAAUGCAUGAAAAAUGAUGGCUUAUGUGCUGAACACCCAAACCGGGAGAAAAUCUGGGUUGUUGUGUUAAUUAACUUGCGCCCAGGAAUUGACAUAGAUAGAGGCAUAAUCUGGAGUAUCUCCUUUCAGAGAAGUUGCAGUCUGAGAUGUUAUCUUUCCAACGAAUCCAACCUCGCUUAAUUUGGAGCUCUAGAUAUAGGUAAACACUAGAUUGACUGCCCGCGCUUUGCUGCUGCGGGCGAUUUUAGGUUAUGAAUGAAAAUGCGAUUUUUUUACCAAAACAAAAAUAACAUCCAUGAAAAAUAAUAAUUGCUAGGCAAUGAUAAAAAGAACUGCAGCCAGGUAUAGUAUCAAAGGUUUGAUAAUAUAGAUAAAGUUAUAAACAACAACAAAAUGCAAAUAAGUUAAUAGAUUGUUGGGCACUGAAAGGACAAUGUUGUUUGCAAAUUAUAUUAAAAUUGUAGAGGCAGCAUUUAUCUUAUUGUUUUAGAAAUCAUAAUCCAAGUCAUUAGUAGAGAAAUUGCUAGUGCUGGUAAGAAAAUGAAAUAAAUUAUGUCAAAAAAAGAGAGGAAAGGAUGUGUGAAAGGGGUGUGCUGCAGGCAUGUGUAACAUAAAAUAACAUAGAAGAACAACUUGUAAAAUAAAAGAAAAAAAUUUUGCUAUAAUUUGAUUUGAUUCUUUAGCUAAUGUCUUUUUUUUUGACAUGUUAAAUAGCUUCCACAAAAAUAUUUUUGGUUUUUAUGAAAUUUAAGGUUGAAAAUUCGGUCCAUAUUUAUGAAUUAUAUAAAGUUAAAUGUGUGGAUGAGGCAAGAAAAUAAAAAUUUAGCAUAUUUAUUUUUUUACAUAUUUUAUUGUUACACAUCUUAUUUUUAUCGUUACACUAAUAUGUGUUGACGAAAUCAAAUCGCAUGACCGCUAAUAAAGAUAAGAAGAAAAAAAGCAAAGAACAACAUAACAACCAUUGACAAAACAUGAAAAAGCCUUAAAUCCAAGAUCACAAAGAUCCGAAUCGACAAUGAACAUAAUUCCAAAAAAGACAAAUUGACAUAACCCAAAAGAGCAUAUUCUGCAAGAAAAAAAUCAAUAGCAUAGUCAAAGCAAAGCAAAGUUGAUAGAGAAGAGCAAAAUGCAAGUUGCACAUACAACAACAUCGACAACAUGUUCAUGAGCCAAACUAAAGCUUUCAAGCAUAACGAACUAAUGAUAGAAAAGAAAAAAAACAAACACAUUGUAGUGUCCCUGCACUUUGCUGCGGGUGAUCUUAGGUUACGUGCAUGGAGACGUAAUUUUUUUGCAAGAAUGAAAAUAACAUCUGUUGGAAAGAAGUGAUUGCUAGGUAAUGAUGAAGAGAAUUGAAGCCAACUCUAGUAUGAAAGGUUUGAUAAUAUAGAUUAAGUUAUAAACAACAUCAAAAGUGAAAAUAAGCUACCAGAUUGUUGAGCACUUAAAGGACAUUGUUGUUUGCAAAUUAUAUCAAAAUUACAGAGGCAGCAGUCAUGAUAAUAUAGAUUAAGUUAUAAACAACAUCAAAAGUAGAAAUAAGCUGCCAGAUUGCUGAGCACUUAAAGGAGAUUGUUGUUUGCAAAUUAUAUCAAAAUUACAGAGGUAGCAGUCAUGUUCUUGCUAUAGAAAUCCAAAUCCAAGUCAUUUGUAGAGGAAUUGCUAGUUUUCCUACGAUGUAAAGACAAUAAAAUAAAUUAUGUAAAGACAAUAAAUCCAAGUCAUUGUUGUUUGUAUUUUUUGGACAUGUUAAAUAGCUUUCAUAAAAAUGUUUUUGGUUUUUUUGUUUUGUGUUAUAGAUGCAAUUGAAGGUUGAAAAUUUUGUCAACAUUUGUGCAGUAGAUGAAAUUAAAUGUGUGGAUGAAGCAAGAUAUAAAAAUUGACCAUGUUUUUUUUUUUACAUUAUUGUAUAUACAGUUUAUGUAGUCAUUAUAAAACUUUUUUCAAAGCAAUAAAAAUCCUAAAGUGAAAAAAAAAGGAAAAACUUUUUUUCUCAAAAAACUCCAGCAUCACAUUGUUGUGAUUAUUCCUUCAGGGAAGAUGAAAGAGGGGAGCAUUUGAAAUCAUGUGAGAAGAAACAAAAUAAAAUUUUCUUGUGGCAUUAAAACGUAGUGAAGAAAUUGAGUGCAGUGUAUGCAUGGAUGGUGUGCUUUCAAAGCCUACAGCACCUGAAAGAAGGAUUGCAGUCUUGCCUGAAUGUGGAUCAUCCAUUGUGCAUAUCCUGUAUCAGGAAUUGGCAUCAUGGUUCCCCAACCUCUGGGAUGACUUUAAUUUACAGCAUUCACCAAGAAAGUAACCAUAUUUGUUGCAAUUGUUUAAGUAACAUAUGCACAUAUAUAAUUGUAAUGAUUUCUUCUUUAUAUGAGUAUUUAUUGUGUGCACAUAAUAAUUAUGUUUUUUUUUAAUAUCAUAUUCUUGUUAAUAUACGUAUAUCCUUUACUAAUUCAUUGGUUUUAUUGAAAAUUAUUAAUAUUGAUAUAUAAAUUAGCCAAGGAAUGAUUUUUUAUCCUUUAAGAAUUGUAUUCAAUGUUAUAAUUAGCAUGUAAAGAAGAGAAGAACUCAUCAAUUAUAGGCUGUGAAGUGAAGAGAAAUAGGUAAAUGUAAAAUAAUAAAAGACAAACAGAUUAGAAAAUAAAUAACAAAUAAAAGGUGGUGGACAAAUUGGACAAUGAUUUAUAAAAAUGUGAGGUUAAAAAUCAAACCUUUGAGGAUGAUGAGGAUGUUGUCCGUUGUUUUUUCAAAGGUGGAAGUGAGUGAUCAAAUGUCUCAGAUGUAGCUAUGUUUCCCAUGUUUCCUUGGACUUCAAUUGCUUUGUCAUGCUCAUCUUCAUGACUAUUGUAAUCAAAGGAGUCAAAGAGAUGCAUGGCAGAAGCAUCAUAGGUUAAGAACCAUCAAAUUUAGCACGUGUCAAAGACAAAAAAAAAAUGUAAAGAAAGUGUGGGGAAAUGUAAACUUGCCUAAGUUGCUGUGUUGCAGCUUCAAAAUCAAGUGCACGUCGUGCUUCACUGUUUAUGCUUGUUUCCUUGUUUGGUGAUAUGUUCUGAAGUGGUGUCUCCAAGGAAUUAGGAGCAAUCCUGAGUUGUGUGACAGUAUUUUGUGGAGUUGAUGGAGCUAUGAGAACCUGUUUCAUAGAGCUUAAUGGAGUAGAUGUCUUGGAUGUAGCAGAUGAUUUAGGUUCUGGAGUUGGUGUUUCUAAAGGAUGGAUGCUCUUAUUUGUGGUGUCGUCAAAGAUAUUAGUAAUGAUAACCUCACAUCUGUUGGUGAUGGAUCUGAAAGCACCAAAUCGAAGCUGAAAAAUCAUGCUUUUGUUCAACUUUGCUGCCAUGGCAGGAGGAAGAACUGAGGGAUCAAUAAAUUUUUUAUCAUAGACAUAAUGGUGGGCUGAUGAUCCAAAAAAGUUCUCCGCAGUUUUCCCAAAUAUAAGAAAAUUAGUGACAUCUUCUCCAUCGGUAACAAUGCAUUCUAAGCGAAACCUAUAAUAUAAAAUUGAUGACAUGUUCAUUAAUAAGAAGUUUAUGAUAAUGUAUCCGAGGAAUAUUAUUUUUUUUAUUUAACAACUUAAUAUUGCUUUAGUUGUGAGAUUAGAUGAGUAACCAUGGAACUGGAAGAGAGGUGAUAGCAUCAUGAUCCAUGCAUGUGUAAUUGUUUUCGCCCCCACUAAGUUUUUUGUUGCAUUUUGGACAACUUGGAUACCACCAGCCAUUGGGAAAAUCAAAGUCAACAAUCAAAGCUUGACAGGUGAAUCUUAGAUGCUGGUAAUAGAAAGGAAGUAUAUGUUACUGGGGUGUGGUUAAAUGAAAUUAAAAAAACUAAUUAUUUGAAGAAGGUAAAGCAUGUUAUCAAAGCUAAUAAUAAAAGGGUUUAAAAAAUAACCUUGUGCUCAUAAGGAUUCAUGCAAAGAAUCUCAUGUAUUGUUCUCCUAUUUUCUUUGAUUUGUUCCUCUAUCGAUAAACAACAUUCGAUGAUGAAGGGAGUUGUUGUAUUUCAACGGGUAGUUGUGCAAAGCUGCGUGUACAAUCGAUUAAAAAAGAUGGUGAAAAAGUAAUUAGUUAGAAAAAAAUUGAUAAUGGUAAAGCAUAAGAGAGAUGGUUGAUGUUGGAAUAACUUACAAAUGUUUAUAUGCUAAGCAUUCUGGUAUGUCCGGAUUGAAGUACCAAAGAGAGGUGGUUGUACUGUUAAGAUUUGGUUUUCCUUGUGAACAAAAGAGUUUUUUGUAAUAAAAUGAAAGGGGAAUUAGUUGGAACAGAAUGACAACAAAAAUCUUUUUUAAAAAAUUAUUUUUAGAAAAAAAAUUAAAUGGAAGUUAAAAUUACCCUUAAAUUCUGUGACACGAAAUCCAGUAAACGCAAUGAUAACCGGAGAUGGUAGGUUAUGAAGAGCGAGUUCAUCAAAAUCUCUGGCACUAUCACCCCAAAGAGUUAUAUGAAGCUCCUCACCACUUUGAAAGAAAAUACAAAACAAAUUGGAUCAAUAAGCUUGAUAAAAGUAAGGUAAUUUGCAUUUAAUUUUUCAACUCACCGAAUGUUCUCAAGCAUGAAUUCUCUUUUAUUUUCGAGCGUCUGUCCACAAACCAUAACUUGUUCAAGUGGCUGCAAUGCUUUAAGUCUUCCAAGGACAUCUUAAAAAACAGGAAUGAAUGCUUUUGAGUGAUGUUAUCAAGUUGAGUUCAAUAAUAGAAAUGUUUUAUAAUAGGCUAAAUGAAUGAAGUAGAUGGUAAACCUGUAAGAAUUCUGGAGCCUUUUGACUUGGUCAGAAUAUGUGCAUAGUCAAUAAAAUUGAAGUAGUAUCUAGGAACAUGAGGUGUAAUAGCUUCAAUGCCUGUAAUUUUUGUGUUAGAUUUGAGAUCAAUUACAGCAUCAUGGACAGUAACUGUGUUUACUACUCUGUUUUCAUAAGUAUAGAAUCCUUUGAUUUCAUAGUGAUUUCCUUCAAUAAUUGUUGCUGCAAAUGUUAGGAGAUCCCUUGUUUUAGCUAAAGCUUGAAUAACUCCACCCUAUAUAAAAAAAAGAUUAAUGUUGAAAUGAAAAAAAUAAUUGUUCACCAUUCCAACAACCAAAUGGAUUAGAAUUUUUAAUGCAAUAUGCAAUAAGGUUUAGAAUUUUGAAUGCAAUAUAUAAUAAGGUUUUGUAAAUUAUUUAAAAAAGAGUUUUGAUGACAUUAGAAGUGAGGUAUUGGUACUACUGGAACAUUAAGUUAAAGGACUGGUUUUAAUAAUGAAUUUAAGAGAUUUUAUGUCUUAAUAUUUCUUAGAAUGUUUAAAUUGGUUGUUACGUAUACAGUCUAUGAAUUUGAAGGAAGAUUUUCUAAGUUAACAAACGUGUCUUGAGGUGAAGGUAAAACAUUAUUUCUAGCAGGAUGCACAUCUAUUAUAAUUAAUUAUUGUAGACCAUUGUAUAAAUGAAAGUUGUAUAUAAAAGAUGUAUAGAAUAAAAGAUAAAUAUACUUCUUGGUUGCUUCUAAAUUCUUGUGUAUAACUGGGUGUAAUAUACCUGGUAAACUGUGGCUCUAGUAUGGAAUUGUAACUGAGAUUUCCAUGGUGAAUUGGUGUAGUUAGCAGUGAAUGCAUCAUAAAAUCUCUCAAACUUUUAUAUUAAAUCAUGUCAAGUAAUAGAAUAUAUGAAACUUGCCUGACCUGUAUGAAAUUUUCUAUGGAUUAUAGAAAGUAAAUGCAAUGCUUGGGGUUUGUCUGGUUUUUUAAGCAUGUAGAAAACAAAGUUAAUUGUAAAUUAUAAAUGGAUAUUGAAAAAGUUUUUUCCAUAAGUUGAAUAAGCAAUUGCUGGUUUAGUAGUGAACUUAACUAUAGCUUUAUAGUAACAAAUUAAAAAGAUAAGGAAACUUGGUUUUCCAUGGGGAAUCUUAAGAGCAAAUAAGUACCUCUGGUUAAGUAAAAAAAAUGUUAAAUUGCCAAAGUAAAGAAAAUAUUCAAAAAUGAGUGGACAUGUAUUAUUCAAACAUUUAAAUAUAUAGAAAAUAAAAUUCAUUAGUGGUUAUAUUUUCAUGAUAAAUUAUACCUGAUUGUCAACAAAAACACAAUUAAAAUUGCUUGGUUGACCAUUAAAUUUAGCAAUCCAAACUCGACAGGCCCUAGCUCGUAAUGAAGGGUAGAAGUUGUAUUUUUUAAUCUGUUUUAUAGGUAGAGCCAUUGUCCUGCAAAUGAUUAAUAAAAAAAAUAUUAGGAGCAAUGAUAAAAACAGUAAAGCUAAUAUUAAUAAAAAGAAUGAGAUGUAUUGCAAAUAUUUAAUUUAAAAUGAAUGGGGAAAAACAACAAAUGGAAACAUGCCCAAAUUAAAAAUGAUAAAUAAAAAAAAAUUUCUUUUGUAAAAAGCAUCACCUUAGAAAAGAAAAAAAGACAGGGAGCAAAAGAUUGACAAUUAAAUAACACGUGGUUCCGAGAGAUCAAGACACUGAUAGAGAGCUAAGAACAUCUUUAUACACAAUGUUUUUCACAUAGAAUGAAUGAUUUCCUUCAGCAUCGCAUGUGAUAAUCUUUAGUCCUUGUCUUGAUGUAACCCGUGAAAGAGCAACAUACAAUUGUCCAUGAGUGAAAACUUGAUCCUUGAGAAAAACCCCGACAACUUUCAAUGAUUGUCCUUGACUUUUAUUUAUUGUCAUAGCAUAACACGGUCUUAUAGGAAAUUGUCUUCGUUUAAUUGUGAAUGGACAUUUUGCAUCAUUUAUUGGAAAAACAAUCCUUGGAAUAAAUACACGAUUGCCAAUAAAAGACCCUGUUAUUAUUUGAGCUUCUAUGACCCUCUCAGCAAGUUGUGUAACAAUAAGACUUGUUCCGUUACAUAAACCAGCUGAUAAAUUAAGAUUGCGUAAAAGCAUUAUUGGUGUGCCAAUUCUCAAGGAAAUUGUGUGGGAUGGCACUCCAUUGAACUCAAGUUGAUUGAUAAAUUCAACGGGAUACAAAAUCUCUGCAUUAUCACCAUCGCUCGAUGUUUUGCAAACAGUAUCAGUACUUAGGUAAAUCCGCUUCAUUCCUGGCAACAUGUUUAAGAUAAAAUCGUUGAUUUCAGAAACUGUAGCAUUUCUUGGAGUUACAAUUGCUCUCUCUCUAAAAUAGCAUGGAUCAAUAUUGAUAUCACGAAUAGAGGGAUACAAAGCUGAAACAAUUGCUAAUAUGGGGUUAGAUCCAGGUUCAAGCAAAAGAUCUUGUGGUAUUUUAAUCAUGGAUGCAUCAGAAUCAUCAGGGAAUAAAGCAUCAUGUUGAGUUCCAUCACCAAUUGCAAGAAUCCAGUUGGCAAAAAUAGCAAGUUCUUUCUUUUGAUCAUUUGAAAGUCCAUUGGAUGAUAGCCUCAUAUUCUCUGUAAGAGUGAGAACUUUAAAUUUAGACCAUAAAACAGAGCUGCAAAGAGAUGCAUGAACAAUGUCUUCCUUUGUUCCUCUGGGAAUAACAGGUAAAAUCUGUCUGAAAUCUCCUCCUAACAAAAUUGAUUUCCCACCGAAUGGUUUAUCAUUGGGCAAGUCGUUACCAUUUGUUAAGACAUCACGAAGUGAGCGGUCCAAUGCUUUAAAGCAACACCGAUUAUUCAUUGGAGCCUCAUCCCAUACAAUUAGAGAGGUCAUUUCUAGAAGUCGUGCAAGAUCGGUUUUUUUUUAAUCUCGCACGAUGAAGUAUCAGAAACAGUAACGGGGAUCUUAAAUCUUGAAUGAGUUGCGCGGCCACCAGGAAGCAAAAGUGAUGCGAUACCCGAUGAUGCAACAGCAAGGACAAUCAAACCAUCUGAUCUCAACCGAUUAAUUAUUGUAUGCCACAAAAAUGUUUUCCCAGUUCCUCCAUAGCCAUGAACAAAAAUUAAUUCUUUUCUUUUUUCAAGGACAGAUUUAAUAACACAAUCAUAAACAUUUAGCUGACAUUGAUUGAGUUGUGGGAAAGCUGAUGAAUGCUGACAUAUAAGAUCUGCAAUAUCGUAGUUAAGCUCUUCUCUCAAAAGUUUAGUCUUUAUUUCUGACAAUAAACGCCCAUCAGGCAUUGGAAGCUUGUGUUUUUCAAGAGAUGUGCCAGCAACAUUGAAGAGAAGCUCAAGCUCAUAUAGAACAUAGUUUUUAAGCUCAUCAUCGAAUAAUUUAAGAUUAGGCAUGGCAAAGCUAGACUUGAAACGGGUGAUAAUAUCAUCAUACAUUGAGCGCCAGAAUUUAUUGAACAAAAGUUCUAGAUCAGCAACAUCACAGAAAAGAACAACACUGACAAAGAGAUUCCUAAUUUGAGGAGAUGUUGCAGUAGUCAUGGCCUCACAAAAGACGUCUUCCCAUUCUUUGUCAUCCCCUAAAAGUCCCAAGGUCUUGCAAGCAAGUUGAAAUGUUGGAUGCACAACACCCGAAACAUUUUUUAGAUAAUCAAAGCUCAACGCUCCUCUUACAUGGUUAAGGAGUAGUCUUAGAAAAUAGAGCUCUCCUGAAGCAGGGUGAACAUAUGUUAAUCGAUUAAGACUAAAACCUUUUGAUCUUGGAAUCCAUUCUUUUUUACCAGGAUCCCAAAUAUAUUUAUGUGGAAAUUCUGAGUAGUAAAGCUGACGUGCUUCAUGAUCAAUUCUAUUACGUGUGAACUAUUCUGUGAGCAUUGUUUUUUCAAUACCUGGUUUUUGAAGUACUGAUGGUAGAUUUUCAUUUCUUGAGUAAACAACAUUUUGAUGCAAUGGCAAAUGGAUUUGAAGUCGCUCAACAGGAGGUGAUCUUGAAUGUAUUGGAAAUUAUAGAAGACGCCAGACCGCUUCAUAUGGGCAUAUAAAACGACAAUUCAUAUACGCAUGGAUCUCAUCAGCACGAUCUUUUUCAACAACAACUCUACAUCUAUCAGAGCCCUUGCUUACGUACUUAAAAAGAUACUUAAUUAACAUUGACUGACAACAGAUCUCAAUAUUUAUGUGGGCAUUGUAUCGUAAUAAGAGUUCCCUAUUAUAUGGAACAACAUAUCUGUUAUUGAGCUGAAUGCCAUUUUUGAUAACAAAAUUGUCUUUAAGAUCACGACGUCUGUAAUAAACAAAGCCAUUAUCAUCAAAAACAGUUUGUGUCUUGAAUUUUUUUGGGAAUCUUUUUGAGCAAAUUCCCUCGUUUAUACACUGAGAUUUUGGAUUUGCAAGACCAUCAUGAAUCUUGAAACAAUUUCAUAGCAUUUUGGAUCUGUAAAUUUGUCAGGGAUUUCAGCUGAAACAAUGGAAUCAACAUCUUUAGGUGUACGACAUUUAAAAUUCGAGUGUAGCCAAAUCAAUAUAUGAGUGUGUGGCAAACCCCUCUUUUGAAAUUCAAUUGCACAAACAUCUACAAAAUAAAAAGAAAACUAAGCCAAACAAUCCUAAUAAGAAUAGAAAGUUGUAAUGUUUAGAAGAAAUGAGAUAAAAGAUAAGGCACCUGCAAUUAUCUGACCAAAAGUCUUGCCUGAUUUUAUAAAGGCUAACAUAUCAAUAACCAUCGAUCUAAAAACAUGUGUAAUGAUAUCAGGCUUGUCUUCAUGUUUGUAAAUUCGACCUUUUGUAAGCUCCCUUCGUAUCUCCGGCCAAUUGACAUUACAUGUGAAUGUAAUAAAUAGGUCAGGAUUUCCAUAGGCUCUACAUAUAGCCAUUGCAUCCUGGUAAUUAUUGAUCAUAUAACGUGGGCUACCAGUUAAAGAAGAUGGAACAAUGAUUUUCCCAGUUGAGAAACCUUCAACAUCCCCAUUAAGCACAGCUUCAUGGAUACCUUUAUAAACUUCUGUACGUAAAUCUUUUUUAUUAGCUCUGAUAUAAUCAAGACGAUCUUCUUCAACAUUAACAAAUGCAUUGACCAAGAAUUGUUGGUACAAACGACCUCCUUUAAUGAUGGUAUUAUCGCACCCAGGCCUUUCAUUGAUAAGGUAAGCAUAAUAAGCUCGCAUCGGAACUCUUGACCUUUUCCUUGUUUUUUCAUGUCCAUGAUCAACAAACAUAAUAUUACAGGAGUAGCCAUCUUCACCAUAAGGAAACAAAAGGGGAUACUGUAAUGCCAUGAAUUUUGGAUGUAAUUUUGAGAUCCUUUUUAAAGAACCUGAAAAGCAUUCAAUAAUUAUAUCUCGUUCCGAGAAAAAAUCUCAAAUAUCUCCAACAACUAAUCCACCAAUGUCAUUUGAUGUAGGAUCAUCAUAUUGGCGUGAAUCAUGGUUUCGCUUUCCAAGUAAGUGAAGUUUAUAAUCAACAGAUUGAAUAUUUUGAGUUUUGUCUCUAGCUUUGCGAAAUAAUUUGGCAAGCUCGUUCGUUUCAUUAAGCAUUCUUAAAAGAUCCACAACAAUAUUCUCAUCCAGAGAUGAUGAUUUGGAGUCUCUUGUAAAUGGUAAAAGUCUAUUUGCAACUUCGUAAGCAGAGUCAAACACAUAGAGCUGUGCAAACUUCGGUGAUUCUCCAUCAACAGGUAAGAGAGAGCCCAUUAAAUGAUGACAAUGACCGCUUAUCUUGAACACAUAUGGAGUUGGUUGAUCAUUAACAGAAGUAUCAAUCUUUGCGCCCAUUGAUGUGAAAGCAAACAUAGAGUUAUAAGCUCGUAUAUUGUCCCGAAAUUUUUUUGAGGCAGAGCAAUUGUUGGGAUCAAGAAGAAAAUCAAGAAUUGAAGGAGUUGGUUGCAUAGCUGGAAGGGAAACUCGACCAUUAAGGCAACAAAGUGAGAAAGAUGGAUUCUUUUUGGAUGAACGUGCAAGACGUUCUUGGAGCCAAAAAAGUGCAUUACAAUGGCAACAUGUAAAAGUCUUAUCACCAAAGUCAACAUACUCGCAUGUUUCCCCUAGAAAUUACAAAGAAAAUGAAAGAUAAUGAAAAAAAAAGAACAUGGAUGAUAUAAGGUAUAAAAAAAUGAAUGAGAGUUGGGGAAAUUUCAAGGUAAACUCACUUUUUCGUUUUUUUUGGUAUUCAGAUUGGCCAACCAAUAGCCUUUGAUAAGCAAUUGGUCCAUGUGUGGUGUUAGUCUCAAAGUUAGUAUUGUUAUUGACAUUUUCAUCGAAGGGAAAUCCAUAUGCAAGAUGUGCCUGACUUGUUGAUGCUAUUGAUGAAGAGGUACUAUUAUUCGAGAUUGAAUAAUUUCCUUGUAAGGAAGUAGAACAUGAUGCACCAUCAUCAGUAGUAUGUAAAAGCGAGUGAUCAUUGGUUAGAUGAUCAGAGUUGUACGGUGUUGCUUGCAUGAAUGAAAAAUUUUUGUCACCCAAAUUUCCUUCACUAUAAAUAUGGAUUGUUGAGUUGUAUGGUGAAGAAACACCAGGCCCAACAUCAUGGAAUGGUUGUAAUCUUUGUCGAUUGCUAGUCAUAAAGUCGUUGCUUCUAAAAGUUAAAAGAUAAAUUUAAAUGGUCAAAGAUAGUCAAUCAAGGCAAUUUUAAUAACAUGGUUAGAAUUAAGAAUAUAAAUGGAAAAGAAAUAAAAAUUCCAUGAAAGAAUAAGAAAUCAAACAGAAAAUUUAAUUAUGAAAUAGAGGAAAUAUAAACACAUGAAAAAAAUCGCAUUGAUUUGAAAAAAAAUGAAGCAUAGAAUGGAAAAGACAAAUACAGCAACAAAGAAAGCAUGAAAAAUGCAGGCUAAGUUUGAAAAUAAAGGUGCACCUGUAGCUGCAGUGAGACAGGAAAAAUGUGGUGUUUCAGCUUCCUGUAACGUGGAGAUAGUUGAACAACAAUUGGAAUAACAGACCUGCAACAAAUGGUGAAAAAUAGAAAGUCACGAAGCAAAUUUGAAUUUAUGAGGUGGACAAUAACAACAACAGCAAAAAUACAUGUGAUUACAAAAAUUGCAAGCAAACAAUUAUGAAAAAUAUGUUCAUUCUGCUGCAAAAUUCAGAGUUGUUGCAAUGGAAAGAAGCAAAUGCAAUAAUAAAAAAAGCGUGUGGCAUUUGUUGCAAUAAACAGAGGCGGUAUGAAAUGAACAUUUUUUUUCUCAACAAAUUCUCGGUGUAAACCAAUUAAGCCACAAAUUAUAUGCAAUCAAAUUCAAAGCAUAAAACGUGUUCAUUAUGCCGCAAACUUUAGAGUUGUUCCAAUAGAAAGAAGGAAAUGCAACAAAAUAAAGAAAAUGAGUGGAAAUUGUUGCAAUAAAUAGAGGUGCUACGAAAUGAACAAACUUUUUUCUCACCAAAUUCUUGUUGGAAACCAAUUUAGUCACUAAUUAUAUGCAAUGCAAUUAAAAGCAUUAAUUCAGCCACCAAUUACAUGCUCAAAUUAAAAUCAUGGGAAUUAACAACAUAAUUUUAACAAAGAAAAUUUUUUUCAUGCAAGCAUUGUUGAAAAUAAAAUUAGCCGGUCAUCAUAUGUAAUUGAAUCGAAAAGCCUUGACAUGAGCAAUGUAUAUUGUUAUGGAGAAAAUAGAACAAAAAAAAAUAAUGGUUAAGCACAAUGUUGUCAAUGAUUCCAACCAUAUUAUACGAAAUCAAAUCUAAAGCGAUAAUUCAACUGCCACUUAUAUACAAUUUAAUUCAAAAUCUAACUAAAACUAAAUCGUAAGGGAAUGGUUUAUAAUUUUCCAAUCAAAGCAAUUUUAAUAAUAUGGAAAAAAUUGAAAAUUCCAAUGGAAAACAAUUAAAAGCAAACUAUUUAAUGAAAGAAUAAGAUUAAAAAAUUCACCAAAAAAGUUAAUUAUGUAAUAAAGCAAACAUGAACAUAUAUAAAAAUCCAAAUUAAUUCAUAAAAAAGCAAGCACAUAAUGGAAAAGAAAAAUACAAUGACAAAGUCACAGGCAAAAAACAGGUCAAGUUUGAAAAUAAAGGUAUACCUAUAGCUUAAGUGAGACAGGAAAAAGGUGGUGUUUCAACUUCCUGCAACCUGGAGAUAGUUCAACACCAAUUGAAAUAACAUGCCUGUAACAUAUGGCGAAAAAUAGAAAGUUAGCAAGGAAAUUUGAACUUUAGAGAUGGACAAUAACAAUAAUAAAAAAAAUAUGUAUGAUUAUGAAAAUCGAUAGAAAAUAAUUAUGAAAAAUAUGUUUAAUCUGCUGCAAAAAUAAUAGUUGUUGCAAUGAAAAGAAGCAAAUGCAACAAUAAAGAAAGUGAGUAGAAUUUGUUGCAAUAAACAAAGGUGAUACCAAAUGAGCAAUUUUAUUUUCCAUCAAAAUCUUGUUGUAAACCAAUUCAACCACUAAUUAUAUGCAUCCAUUUCAAAGCAGCGACAAUUCAACCACCAAUUACAUGCAACUGAAAUUAAUUAAAGUCAUGGCAAUUAACAACAUAAUUUCAGAAAGAGAAUUUUCUUUAUGCAAGUGUUGUUGAAAACAAAAGUAGCUAGCAAUCACAUCUAAUUGAAUUGAAAAAUCUUGAUAUGAGCAAUAUAUAUUUGUUGAGAGAAUAAAACCCAAUAAAACAAUAAUGGUUAAGCAUAAAGUUGUAAACCAUUUUAGGCACAAAUUAUAUGCACUGAAAUUUAAAGUGAUAAUUUAAUUGCUAAUUAUAUAUAAUUUAAUUCNNNNNNNNNNNNNNNNNNNNNNNNNNNNNNNNNNNNNNNNNNNNNNNNNNNNNNNNNNNNNNNNNNNNNNNNNNNNNNNNNNNNNNNNNNNNNNNNNNNNACAGUAGCACCUUAAAUGACCAUGCCAAACCAAUAAACAAUUUAAUUUUAUGUUUUCAAGCAUAGAAGUAAUAACCUUGAUUCCCUGCAUUAUUUCAUUAGCUAACCUAGCAAUUAACAUCCAAAUGGGAAAAUCUUCAACAUACUGUUAUUUCUUAUUCUUAAGCAUAUUUCAUUUCGGAAUGCAUCUCUUUAAAUAACCUCCAACAUGAGUUCAAUCAACUCUUUUUUAAAACACAUAUCACUAAGCAUGAGUUCAAACAACACCUUUUUAAAAAAAAAACACAUAUCAGCAAGCAUAUAUUUUCCAGCAAAGCAAAACAACACCCUAAUCUCAAGCUAUCAUGCAAACAAAGAAUAAGCAUUGAUUAAUUUAACUUAAGCUCUUUCAACAACAACAAAGAUAUUUUAAAAAAUUUAGUAAAAAAUAGCUUGAAAGAAAGAAUGAAACAACUAAAAACCAGAACACUAUUUAAUAAAAAAAAAGAGGCAUGAAAAUACCUUGUUAAACAUUUCUUGAAAGUGGAUAGCAAAACCAAUAGCCUACACGAUUAAAGAUUCUGAGAAGAUCCAUAAAAAAUAAAGCAACCUGUAAAACAAAUAUUUUCAGAUGCAUAAAUCCACUAAUCAGCCAAAUCAACACCUAAAAUCCAGAUGGAAAAAAACCACAAACAAAUUGUUUUUCUCAUAUCUGAAGCACCAAUCAACUUCAAAUGCCUCAUCUCAAAUAACAAUUUUUUUAAAAGGAAACAAAACAACGUGAAGCUUAACAACAAUGAAGCAACCUAAGGCUUUGUGUGAACGUAGUGCAGAAAAAAAUGUUAUUAGAUAAUGUAUGCAUUAUGCUGAUCAUGUUACAAAGGAAUGAGAUAACAUAAUACAACUCACACAUUACCUAGUAAACUGAAAAAAAAAAAAAACAUGGAAGCCAUUCAAAGGCAUACAGAUAAGAUGACAGGAAAAGGAAAAAAAAAAACAAAACUGCAGAAGCAAAUGAAAAGAAUAAGGGGAACUGUAGUUACUGAAAUGAAAAAAAACAAUGCCACAUGACAGCCCUUGCCAAAUAAAAAGACCACAUGGAUUAGAGCAAAAAACUCUCAACUAUAAAAAACAUGGACCCAAAAUCAAAAUCAAAAUUGCAUGGACAAAGUAAUAUUUAAAUAAUGAUGGGUUUCAGUAUAGAGUCGGUGUUUUUAUAUAAUGAUGGGUUACAUUAAUUUUGUAUGGACAAAGUAAUAUUUAAAUCACAAACAUGUAUUUAUUUGGCAUAUGUGGUUUUACAGCCUAUGGAGCACAACCUUUUGUUCUUGAAAAUGGAUGAUCAUGACAUGCACUUGUUUUUUUUACCUUUAUUUCAAUAUAUUUCUAAUACUUUAUCAAAAAAGUAUUUCAAUAUAUUUCUAAUACAUCAAUAUAUUUCUAAUAUUUCAAAAAAAAAACAAAACAAAUUAAUUUGUAAAAAAACAAACAUAAAAUGGAAAAGAAAAAUACAACAACAAAGUUGCAAGCAAAAAAGAGGUAAAGCCUGAAAAUAAUGGCGCACCUGUAACUUGAGUGACACAGGAAAAAGAUGGUGUUGCAGCUCUCUGCAACCUAGAGAUAGUUCAACACUAAUUGGAAUAGUAUGCCUGCAACAAAUGGUGAAAAAUAGAAAGCCACCAAGCAAAUUUGAACUUGAGAGAUGGACAAUAACAACAAUAAAAAAAGACAUGCGAUUAUGAAAACCGAAAGAAAAUAAUUAUGAAAAAUGUGUUCAUUCGGCUGCAAAAAUGAUAGCUGUUGCAAUGGAAAGAAGCAAAUGCAACAAUAAAGAAAGUGAGUGGAAUUUGUUACAAUAAACAGAGUUGAUACCAAAUGAACAAUUUUUUUUCCAACCAAAAUCUUGCUGAAAGCCAAUUCAGCCACUAAUCAUAUGCAAUUCAAUUCAAAGCGAUAAUUCAGCCACCAAUUACAUGCAACUAAAAUUAAUUAAAGUCAUAGCAAUUAACAGCAUAAUUUCAGAAAGAGAAUUUUCUCUAUGCAAGUGUUGUUGAAAACAAAAGUAGCCAGAAAUCACAUGUAAUUGAAUUGAAAGGUCUUGAAAUGAGCAAUGUAUAUUCGUGGAGAGAAAAUAGAACCUAAUAAAACAAUAAUGGUUAAGCAUAAAGUUGUAAACCAUUUCAGGCAGAAAUCAUACACACUGAAAUUUAAAGUGGUAAUUUAAUUGCUAACUAUAUAUAAUUUAAUUCAUAGGCCAAGGAAAUAUAAAACAACAUGUCAAAAAUUCUUAAUUCAACAUACAACACCUUAAAUUACAAUGUCAAACCAAUAAACAAUUUAAUUCUCCGUUUUGAAGCAUAGAAGUAAUAACCUUGAUCGCCUAAAUUAUUUCAUUAGUUAACCUAGCAAUUAACACCCAAAUGGAAAAAUCUUCAACAUAUUAUUAUUUUUUAUUCUUAAGCAUCUUUCAUUUCGGAAUGUAUCUCUUUAAAUAACCAUUAACAUGAGUUCAAUUAGUUUUUUUUUAAAAAAAAAACACAUAUCACUAAGCAUGAGUUCAAGCAACACCUUUUUAAAAAACACAUAUCAUCAAUCAUAUAUUUUCCAGCAAAGCAAAACAACACCCCAAACAUGUCAAAAAUUCUUAAUUCAACAUACAACACCUUAAAUUACCAUGUCAAACCAAUAAACAAUCUAAUUCUCCGUUUUGAAGCAUAGAAGUAAUAACCUUGAUCGCCUAAAUUAUUUCAUUAGUUAACCUAGCAAUUAACACCCAAAUGGAAAAAUCUUCAACAUAUUAUUAUUUUUUAUUCUUAAGCAUCUUUCAUUUCGGAAUGUAUCUCUUUAAAUAACCAUUAACAUGAGUUCAAUUAGUUUUUUUUUAAAAAAAAAACACAUAUCACUAAGCAUGAGUUCAAGCAACACCUUUUUAAAAAACACAUAUCAUCAAUCAUAUAUUUUCCAGCAAAGCAAAACAACACCCCAAACUCGAGGUUAUUAAAAUUCAAUUAGCCUUUGAGUGACAAAACUGUUCAAAGUAGAAAAGACAAAAGUGAAGAUGGUGUAGUUGUUUGUCUCAACGAAAGCUUUUUGGUAACACAAAUUGUCUAAGAAAAUGACAGCGAGAACUGAAAUUGCAAGCAAAGCUAGUUCUCUUGAUUGCACACAAAAUCAGAGGGAAGAAAUUAAGGAAUAAAGCAUCAAGACCAAUUGAAAAUUAAACAACAAAUCCAUUCAUUUUACGGAUCAAAUAAAUUAAUUAAAAAAAUUGUGAUAGAAUCAAAUGUAUCCAGUCAAGUCAAAAACCCUAAUUGCAAUUAAAAAUCAAUGUUAAGAGAAAUUACAAUACGAUCUUGCAAGGUUUUGGCUUUUUCAGCUACGACUUGAUCGGCUUGGUGAACAAAAAGUUGUUCCCUACUUCCACUGCCUUGCUCACAUAGAGAGAAUUGAACACAAAUUGAUACAACAUACUUGUUUUUCAACGAAUGAAAACUUAAGCACAAAAGGAAAAUUAAAUUGUCCCUGGUGCUAUUAAUCUGAAUAGCUAUAACUGCAAAAUAUUAAGAUUCAAAAUAUGAGCUGAGCUCUUCCUCUUGAGUCCAUGAAAACUAAAUUCUUAUCCAAGACUGAGUUUAUAUUAUUGGGCUUUUCUUCAAGGCAUAGCUUAUGAACAGUUGGAACCGUAUAUAUUGCGUGAGACUUGAGUUUCUAGGUUUUCAAGGGGUUUUUUUAUAUAUAGUUAAAUCUGAAUUUAGUUUUAGAUAAAUUCAGAUUUAGCUAUUAAUUCAACUUAAGCUCCUUCUACAACAACAAAGAUAUUUAAACAAAUUUAGCAGAAAAUAGCUUGAAAGAAAGAACGAAACAACCAUGAACCAUAACACUAUCUAAUAAAAAAAAAGAGGUGUGAAAAUACGUUGUUAAACAUUCCUUGAAAGUGGAUAGCAAAACCAAUGGCCUACACGAUUAAAGAUUGUGAGAAAGUCCACAAAAGGUAAAGCAACCUGUAAAACAAAUAUUUUCAGAUGCAUAAAUCCACUUAUCAGCCAAAUUAACACCUAAAAUUGAGAUGGGAAAAAGCCACAAACAAACUGUUUUUCCUAUAUCUCAAGUACCAAUCAACCUCAAAUGCCUCAUAUCAAAUAACAAAUUCAUUCAUGUCAAUUCAUAAUUUUUUUUAAAAAAUAAUUUUUUAAUCCAAAACCAAAUGGAACAAAAAAUACUUACCCUAAAUCUCCUGUGUUGUUGAUGGAAAAUCUUGUUUUUUUAGGUGCUAGGCUUCUAGUCCAGGUUAUGGAGAGGCGUUUUUUAAAAAAAAAAGUAGUGAAGAUAUACUGAGGUUUUUCGCUAAAACUCUAUGAAAAUUUGGUGGUUUUUCCAUUCUGCUGCUAUUUUUUUUUAAUUCCCUAAAGCAUGCAACACAAUUGUCAAACUCUGUAGGCUCCCAUGGUCAAACAGUGUUAAAUGUUCUAGAAGAUUAGGCUCUGUUUUUUCUGGCCCAAAUACACGAACCAUUUUGGGAACAGAGUUUGUUUCUUUUUCUUUAACCCCCCUCAUUUAUAUCCCACCAAACACAAAUAUUAUACGAAACUCUUUGGGGGCUGGGAGAAGGCUAAGGUAAUUUUUGUGCUUGGAGGGUCCUUGGGGGCUAAUGCUAUUAACUUUGAUUUGCUGAAUGUUUAUAGUCAAAUGUUAUUGGGGCAUAAGGAUUGGUAUAUUACUAAUAACAAAAAAGGCAACAAACAAUGCUACAAAUAAUCGUUCAAUAAAAGUAAAAAAAAUUAAAGACAACUAAAAGGAGCCAAAUCUUAAAAAUACAGUAAAGAGACAAUGAACAAAUCUGGCUUUCACAUGAAAGGAAAAGGUUGGAAAUAAGCAUUGACAUGUCUAAACAAACCUCUCAAUACAAAGUUUAUAACUUGCAACCCAAAUUGAUUUGAAACUAAAGCUGAGGAAAAGCAUAGAAUAAUCUUAAAAAACUAACCUUUGUCUUAGUAGAACACGGGGAAAAAGUUAGGAGCCAGCACACCCAAAAGCAGAGCUUGAAGCAUUAUAUAUCUUUGCAGGAAAAAGGAAAAUACAUGUCUACCAACAUGAUAAAAAGCAACCAACUGGAUGUCACAAAACAAAAGUGAUUGCUAUGACCAGAUAUGAAAUAGAGCUCUUAAAAAAUAUUGCAACAGGACAACCCAUCACCUACCCAAGUCAGAACUAAACUAACAAAUCAGCCCCCUCACCUUGUCUCCACAUUUCCCGCCCAAGAAAAAAUGACCAGAUAUGAAAUAGAGUUCUUUAAAAAUAUUCUAACAGGACAACUCAUCACCUACCCAAGUCAGAACUAAGCUAACAAAUCAGCCCCCUCACUUUGUCUCCACAUUUCCCGCUCAAGAAAAACACUGCACAUCACAAUGGCAGCAACAUGCCAACCUCAACGUGCAUUAAAUGUCUGUCAGUUGAAACAGCUUAAAACCAUACUCCUUUUCUCCUUUCAUCAGCAUGCUGAACCAACCCACUCUCAACUAUCUCAACUGAGACAUCCAAAUGCAUGUCCACACCUUAAUUCUUGGGAAAAAAAACGUACCAGCACAGAGAAAUGCAAGCAGACCAGCCAUGUAUAAAUAAGAAUUACAAAGAGCCUUUUAAUCCAUGCUAAGCCACCUAAUAAACAAAGCUUCACUGUCAAGUGAUAUUUUGUAAAAAAGCAAACUGAAAAUUAAAUUAAUUUUAAAAAAACCAAAAUUGGUCAGUCAAUCACUGCAAUAAUAUGCAAAAUCUGACCAAAUUACUAAUCACAAAUAAACUCACCUGCUCUCUCAAUCAAAUCUAACCAAGUGGGCGUUGCAUUUAAUGUAGCAUAAUAAGAACACAUACAAUCCAGAAGAAAGGACUCCUAAAAGCAAGCUAGAUUUUCUAGUGGCGGCCACGUCUCUGCAGACUAAAGUCCCUUUCCCUUUUAGCCUAAGCCAUCAUGAAAUCCAAGCCAUCGUUCACCCUUCAUUUCCCGGUCUUUCCUUUUGGGAGCUUCUGUCUACGGACCCUGAUUUUUCCACAUGCAAUUAUAAUAUUUGUUCGUGAGGGCCCAAGCAGCAAGAAAAGGAAGGAGCUAAAAUUCCCUGUCAGACAAAGCUCUAUAAGGUAAGGAAGAAAAUCAGUCUUGACUAAAAGCUUAUCGAAGUCACUUACGGAUCCGGAUCCCAUUCUUUUUUAGUGAACGAAGCGCAAGCUCCGCCCAGACCUCCUGGUGAGAACUGAAAUCCUGAUGCAAACUGAGAUCUUGGAGUGAAACCAAGACGAUGUUCCUCCUGGAUAGAGCCACCAGCCAGCCCAACCUAAAGCCAUACCCAAGCCUGUAGAAGCACACACAGUCAAUAACUAACAGCUUUAAAACUCUCAUCUCACACGAACAAACCAACAGGGAAUAAAUCUCCAUGAAUCCCAACUUAGCGCGAGAAAACACUAAAGCAGACCUUCAAGCGAUAAGAAUUGCUCGAGUCCACAGUAAUUACACUCGGUGGCUACAAUGUUUUCUUAAGCCCUUUUAGUAUUUUUUUUUAAUUUUAAUUGAGAUGGAUCUGGAAUUGUGAACGUGCUCUUUGGUUUGUUUUUUAAGUGUUCUCUGAUGCGUUUGUAUCAGAAAAAACAAAGAGAUGGAAAGAUGUAACCUGUAAAAAAAAACAUAAAGAUACAUGGUAGGGAUGCUGCCACGUACCUAACAAAACAAAUGAAAAAACAGUGAAAGAAAACUGGCCAAAACUUAUCGCAAGAAUGAAUUUUAAACGUAAACAGUGCAAUCCACAGUGAUUCUAGAGACAAUCUACAGUGAUUCACUAAUCUCUUUUAGUUUUUUUUUAAUAUGAGGGGAGAUCGAGCUAUCAUCCCUGCUGACAGAUUCGACCAAGUUGACAAAAUGAUGAAAUUUAGGCACGUUAAGAAUAUAAUUUGUUUUGCCUCCCUUUGUAAAAUGUGUAGCAUCAUAUCCUGACUUCCAAAAAGAAAUAAACCAUAUUUGAAAUUGAAUUGGUGAUGUUUGUUAUGACUGCUAAUGAACCGAAAUCCUAAAGGAUAAUAAUGAGAGGGUAAAUGUAAAAAUAAUGGUAAAAAAGAAAUGAAUGUUGUCACCAUCUUUAUUACUAUGUUGCGAAAUGUGAUUGAGAAUGAAAUAAUGAUGGGUACUUGUGGAUUCAAGAGGAAUCGCAAAAGGAGUACAACAACAUCAAAGGAAUGCAAGCCGAGCUUCUGUAGUAGGUAGGUAUUAUACACCUAUAUCUUCCUUAGUUAAUACGAUUCUAGUUAUCUAUUGGGAUUAUAAAUCAUGUGCCUAUAAAUGAGUCCGAAAAGAGAAAAGAGAAAAGAUGAAAUGACAUGAAUGAGAACUGGAAAACCAGAUUUGAUUUAUGAGUUCCUCUAGAGAGAAUGGACGAAAAUAACGAGUUUUUAUGGAAAAUCGUCCCUUGGAUUUGAUUAGCCAGUCCCCAAAUACGGGAGGCUAAUGAUGUUAGCCAGGUUGGCUAACAUCGACAUGACCAAUACGGAGGAGGAGAAACAUUGGACUUGAUUAACUAUUCGGGUUAAGAAUAAUUAAUGAUAUCGUCGGUUGACAUCGGUAUCGACAAACUCAUGGAGCUUAAUUAGCUUUCUUGAGGUGAAAGCUAAUGAUGUUAAGAAUUCUUGACAUCAACAUACCCGAGGAUAUUCCAAUGUAAUAUGGAACACUGAUUAAUUAUUUUAGUUCAUAAAUAGUUAAUGACAUGAACGGGUUAUGUUGGCGUCAACAUUCCCACGAACUUGAUUAGUCGAUUCCAGAAUAGGUGACUAAAGAUACUAAUAUGAGUCAUUAAUAUCAGCAAUUACCUCUCCGAAUUGGAAAAAAGUGGCACGAUGUUGUGCUCCUAAUGAAAUUUGGGAUGUUUAUGAAAUGAAAAAUAAUGGGUGAUCCUCAGAAGAAUAAAUAGGGACAAAAUCAUAAAAGGCAAAUUAAUAAUUCAAAAGGCCAUUGUUAUGCAUGGAUUAGUAUAUGAUUAAAUAUAUAUAUAUAUAUAUAUAUAUAUAUAUGCAUGUAUCGUAUAAAUUUCCCUUUUUUAUUGUAUGCUUAUUUUAAUUAUUCUAAAAAUUAUAAAUUGCAGGUCGUUUCCACUCACGUCAGGAGUAGUAUUUAGAUCCCCUGGUUUUCUUUUGUAUAAAUUAAGAAUGUAAGAAUUGCCUUCAUAUUUUGUUCUUAAGUAACCAUAUAACUCGGGACGUAAUAGUGUCAUCCUUGUAAUUUUAUGUUUGGAAUACUGGAUUGUAUUAUUUUGUAUUUGGAAUUCAAAUGUUUGUAUGCUUCUUUUAUUUGUUAAAUUAUGUAUGUUAAAUAUGAAAGAAAUUGAAUGGACAAAAUGUCAUAUCUAUGUUUUUUAAUAUAUUGUUGAGUUGGACUUGUUGUGAUUGCGAUAUGAUUGAGAUGUGAGUAUAAGAUGUGUAAAGGACGAUAGUCAAUAACUUGGAACCUCCCGGUAUAGGGGAGACUCUGCUGAAAUUUUGGUGAAAAUUUAGGAAACCUUAAAUAAUGGAAAAAAAAAUUUACCCACAAAUUCGGUAGUAUAAUCGCGUGUUUUUAAUCCUGAAAAUGGGAAUGUUACAAUUUGGUAUUAGAUCCUCUGGUUGAAAUUUCAGGGACUGAAGUAACGAUGUGGUUUUGGAAAAUAUAUUGUAGGAUAUUUCAUACAUGGCAAAGAGUAAUGACAGACUCAUCUCCCAUGAGAAGGAGAAAGUAUGACUCAUUGGAUGGUAACGAAGCUAAAGGGGAUCCGCUAAUGGACACUACCUCUCAUUUACCUGCAACAUCAGCCCAUUCUGAGAAGGGAGAAUUAGGGGGGCAUCAGGAUAACCCUGCAUCCCAUCAGGCCAAAGUGUUGCUACGCAGAGCAACGGGUGGUCAGGGACCAGAAGAUAGGCCUCCACUGGCCACACCGAUGGCCACACCAAAUCCAUAUUCGAACCCUGCGUUUCUGGAGCAACUGGUCAAGGUAGUAGCAGCAAGGAUAGCUGUAGGAACGUCCAGUCCUGCCUCUCGGGUAGAGAGAGUGGUUACCCUAGUUCAAUGGGUGAAGGGUAUGCGAGAAAUGAGUUGUACAACCUAUUCAGGGGAAGAAGACACUGGAUCAUUUAAAAUAAUUUGGAUUUUAAAAAAAAAAAAUACAAUGUAAUUUUAGGUAAAAAAAACUUUGGUUUACCAUAGUUAACCUAUUUAAUCUUAAAUCCAAGCUUUAUUAAAGAAUUUUUUUCAAUCCAAAAACUUAAAUUAUUAUUAUUUAUAUUAUUUUACUCUUUGAACUUGAAAUUUUUAUAGACUCAAACUACUUUCUGCUAUUUUAUCGAAUACGAUGAAGAUGAUGAGAUUCUAAGUUGUGACCGCUUAGUUAAUAAAGUUUUAAUACCAUGAUAAAAAAUCAUCUCAACUCAAAAGUUUAAGUUAAGGUUGACAUGAGUCAAUUCUUAUAAGGCUUCAUUUGGGAUUGGGGUUGAAUCGGAUUUUCAUCAAAUUUUAAUUUUUUUUCUUGCUUUGAAUUAAUUUUUUUUAGUAUUUUUGAAUCGUUUUAAUGUGCUUUUUUCAAAAAUAAAUUUUAAAAAAAUUAUAUAUAUAUAUUUCCAAGUAUAAAACAUUUUGAAAAACAAUAUUAACUACACUCUCAAACAGACUCUAACUCUAUAUUACUUAUUCUACAUUUUAUUCUUAAUUACAUUUUUUAUUUUAUGUAAACCUUAGGAUAAAUUAUAAUAACUAUUUUAAUAGUAAGUUAUGGUUAUUCAAAAAUAAAGUGUGUGUAUACAAUCGAGAAAUCCUGUAAACGUCUAUAGUAAAGUACAUUUAUUUUUUAAUUUAUUCUAGAGAUAUUUUAAUCAUUUUAAUUACAAUGGUAGUCAAUAAAAGUUUAAUUAUUUUAUUUCAGAUUUUUUGUAACAAAAAAAGGAAAUUAACCUCUUGAAUCUCACCUAAUUCAAAUCUUACUUACAUAUUAAAUAAUCAUUUCAAUUCAAAAUAAUAAACUAAGAUUUUAUAUUACUCACAAAAAUAUUUAUUCACGUGAAAUACUCAUUAAAUUUAAAACUUACAUAAACUCAUGAUUAUUUUAUAUUUAAUUUUAUUAAUUAAAAUAAAAACAGUAAAAUUUAAGUUAAUGAACUUAUAUUAUCUUAUAUUUAAUUUUAUUAAUUAAAAUAAAAAUAGUAAAAUUUGAAUAAAAAUUGAAUUCAUGAUUAGCUAUCUUUUUAAGGAUCUUGAGCAUCGGUCUCGGUGAAGGUGCAAUGAGAGUCCUCCCAGAUAAGAGCGUGGUGUGAUCUUAAGCAACCCUGUAAAGUUGCUUGCGAAUUCAAAGAUAAGAUUAUGAUAAUUUCUAGUAAUUUCAGUACUCACAAGUACCAAAAUGAAUCUGAAAGUGAAACAUUCAAGAAACAGAAAAUCCUUGGAUAGAUUAUUCAAAGAGUGAGAAGAAAGAUAUUGUUUCCAUUGAUUACAAACAAAACAUGAACACUACUCACACAAGCUUGCCGGCUGCUUCCACCACCACCACCACCACCACCACCAUACUUUAUACAUGCUGAAACAUUUAUUAUAUACCAGAAGCAACCAGAAGAAGAAGCAGAAAACUUCAGUACGUAUUACAUGCUGUUAACGAUAUUAACGUUUGUUUAUGCCAGAACAUCAAGGAAAGGAUAGUCAGUGUAGCCAACAACA